This 316-nucleotide ribosomal RNA is filed under the name uncultured eukaryote. Its description in RNAcentral is "partial large subunit ribosomal RNA". It matches the Rfam family "Eukaryotic large subunit ribosomal RNA", at positions 40 to 350 of the family's 3401-position model. The record is from RNAcentral.
AUAUUAUUAAGCGGAGGAAAAGAAACUAACAAGGAUUCCCCUAGUAACGGCGAGUGAAGCGGGAAAAGCUCAAGUUUAAAAUCGGUGCUCCUUGAGGGCAUUGAGUUGUAAUCUAAAGACGUACUGUCAGCGUGUGACCUGGGUAUAACUCCUUUGGAAAAGGGGAUCAUAGAGGGUGAUAAUCCCGUCUUUGACCUGGAGCUCGCCGCGUACGACAUACGUUCAUAGAGUCGGGUUGUUUGGGAUUGCAGCCCUAAAUGGGUGGUAAACUUCAUCUAAAGCUAAAUAUUGGCGGGAGACCGAUAGCGCACAAGUA